Molecule: non-coding RNA, 98 nt
Organism: Mycena latifolia
Lineage: Eukaryota; Fungi; Basidiomycota; Agaricomycetes; Agaricales; Mycenaceae
Source: the annotation of a GenBank genome assembly
GUCAUCGUAUAUCAGUGGUAGAUUCCCUUCACGCUGUGUGGCGAUAGUACCGGGAAGUCUGCACGAAGGAGGCGUAGGUUCGAUUCCUACCGAUGGUU